This 253-nucleotide ribosomal RNA is filed under the name uncultured bacterium. RNAcentral's name for it is "partial 16S ribosomal RNA". It matches the Rfam family "Bacterial small subunit ribosomal RNA", at positions 524 to 776 of the family's 1533-position model. The record is from RNAcentral.
UACAGAGGUCUCGAGCGUUAGGCGGAAUCACUGGGCUUAAAGCGUGUGUAGGCGGAUCGGUAAGUACCUUGUGAAAUCCCACAGCUCAACUGUGGAACUGCUUGGUAUACUGCCAGUCUUGAGCCAGCUAGGGGCUACCGGAACAAAUGGUGGAGCGGUGAAAUGCGUAGAUAUGCGGAGGAACACCGAUGGCGAAGGCAAUCCCCUGGGCCUGCACUGACGCUCAUGCACGAAAGCGUGGGGAGCAAACAGG